UCGGGAAUUUUGGGCAAUGGGCGAAAGCCUGACCCAGCAACGCCGCGUGAGGGAUGAGGUAUUUCGGUAUGUAAACCUCGAAAGAAUGGGAAGAAUAAAUGACGGUACCAUUUAUAAGCUCCGGCUAACUACGUGCCAGCAGCCGCGGUAAUACGUAGGGAGCAAGCGUUGUUCGGAUUUACUGGGCGUAAAGGGCGCGUAGGCGGCGCGGUAAGUCACUUGUGAAAUCUCUGAGCUUAACUCAGAACGGCCAAGUGAUACUGCUGUGCUAGAGUGCGGAGGAGGCAACCGGAAUUCUUGGUGUAGCGGUGAAAUGCGUAGAUAUCAAGAGGAACACCUGAGGCGAAGGCGGGUUGCUGGGCCGACACUGACGCUGAUGCGCGAAAGCCAGGGGAGCAAACG
Molecule: ribosomal RNA, 402 nt
Filed under: uncultured bacterium
Lineage: Bacteria
Description: bacterial SSU rRNA
Rfam family: Bacterial small subunit ribosomal RNA
Source: RNAcentral